UUACCGAGUGAGGGCCCUCUGGGUCCAACCUCCCACCCGUGUUUAUCGUACCUUGUUGCUUCGGCGAGCCCGCCUCACGGCCGCCGGGGGGCAUCCGCCCCCGGGCCCGCGCUCGCCGAAGACACCAUUGAACUCUGUCUGAAGAUUGCAGUCUGAGUGAUUAACUAAAUCAGUUAAAACUUUCAACAACGGAUCUCUUGGUUCCGGCAUCGAUGAAGAACGCAGCGAAAUGCGAUAAGUAAUGUGAAUUGCAGAAUUCAGUGAAUCAUCGAGUCUUUGAACGCACAUUGCGCCCCCUGGUAUUCCGGGGGGCAUGCCUGUCCGAGCGUCAUUGCUGCCCUCAAGCACGGCUUGUGUGUUGGGCCCCGCCCCCCGGUUCCGGGGGGCGGACCCGAAAGGCAGCGGCGGCACCGCGUCCGGUCCUCGAGCGUAUGGGGCUUCGUCACCCGCUCUGUAGGCCCGGCCGGCGCCCGCCGGCGACCCCAAUCAAUCUAUCCAGGUUGACCUCGGAUCAGGUAGGGAUACCCGCUGAACUU
RNAcentral lists this ribosomal RNA (536 nucleotides) under Penicillium sp. Its description in RNAcentral is "eukaryotic LSU rRNA". The stretch from base 178 to 331 matches the Rfam family "5.8S ribosomal RNA". The record is from RNAcentral. Lineage: Eukaryota; Fungi; Ascomycota; Eurotiomycetes; Eurotiales; Aspergillaceae.